GGCUUCAGCUAAUUUAGGAAACAAUCUGGUCACCAAAAAGAAUUUUCUCAGGAACGCCACCAGGACAACUUGGCAAUGCCAUAAUUCUUCAAACAGCCAACCCACUUAAAUGAGAAAAGCACACAUCUUCCAUAUAAGAUUCAGAUUUUGUGGAAUAUCACUCUUUAAGCAUCAAAAUAGAAACGGCUAACCAAAACCAUGUCAAAAUCAUAAGACGGAGGAGAGAAGCAGGACAGAUUCCAGAAGCCCUUGUGUCUAUUCCAGAUGGCACACUUUGAGUCUGAAAAUUCAUUAACAGAUCGGCAGUGUUGUUUUUUGCAUUUUGUUUCAUUUUUAAUACCCCGCACAGGUGGCUUGAUUUGUCUGUCCACAAAGGGAUUACAACCACUGAGUCAGAAAAGAACUCAGCCUUGAAUGCAUCGCCCAUGCCACCUGCCUGGCAGCCUCCAGAAUGAGAAAGCAGCAGGUCAGAGGUUCAGGGAAAUUUGAGAUUUGCAAGGGGCCACGGCAAGAGGGAAACGGUUCCUGUACCUUCCUAUGGCCCUGAACGCUGCCAGCUGGCUUGGGCACUCCCAGCAUGGAGGAAGCCCAACCAGUCUUUCCUAUUUUCCGUGACACAGUUGUUGGCUUAAUCCUCCUUCUGGAGUGCGUAAUCCUCAGUUAACCACUAGUUGAGGACCUCGCUCCCACCUGGAAUGGGGAAGCAACCAAAGCACACAACUUGAUACAGUUCAAGGCAGCCAGGGACUGAUCUAAGAAAGCUAGCUUUAUAGCAGAAAAAAGUCCACGUCUACGCAAAGAUGGCCAAAUAAGCUAACGUUUCUAUUAUCUGCCUAUAUACUUACGUGUGUGUGGAAACCUUAGAAAGCAGGAAGCCAUUUUUACUACGGGAGUCAAGAAGGAAAAAAAGCUUAGCAGCGCAGGCUGGCCAGUGUAAACUGCUCUAUUGAUGAAAGUGUCAGCAAGGGCCUUUCCUGAAUGGCUCACUUCACCGGACCUGGGACACUCAGGUACCAGCUGAUGCCCCAACAUCAAACGUGGGAGCCAAAACAUGGCAGGAAGCAGAUGGUGUCAUAUUUCCUGGGUCUCGCUGUCCAGUUGAGUUCAGCGCCUGCCAAGUGCAAAAUGAAAUGUCUCUCCUUUCACAGAGCCCCGCACACACGGCAAGCUGGGGUGGUGGCUGUGGUGGCAACGGCAAGUUCAGGGGAAAGCAGGAGCCUCGGAGGCACAGACAGAGCAGAGUGGUUUGCAAGUCAGAUGCUGAGAGAGGCAAUGGAAAUUCAGUCACAGCAGAAAAAGGGAAAUGAGCCAGAAAUGUGGUUUGGAGUAAGAUGUGCUUUGCUCAGCAAAGACACUCAGCUUUAAAAGAUGGAUGGAGGAAAAAAUCUGUAUCUGGCUUGAUUGCUUAUGAAGAAAAUCCCUCUAAGUAUAAACACUUCUUUGAAACUGUCAAGAUAAUAAUAAUGUUAAUAUUGACUACACUUUUAUUCUGCUAAGCAUGUGAAUUCACUUAAUCCUCACAGCAACACUACAUG
Long non-coding RNA from Lutra lutra (Eurasian river otter), 1535 nucleotides. RefSeq lists it as uncharacterized. NCBI's taxonomy places the organism in Eukaryota, Metazoa, Chordata, Mammalia, Carnivora, Mustelidae. The record is from RefSeq and is a predicted model, not a curated record. The transcript has 4 exons.